RNAcentral lists this unclassified non-coding RNA (221 nucleotides) under Hevea brasiliensis (rubber tree). The record is from RNAcentral. Lineage: Eukaryota; Viridiplantae; Streptophyta; Magnoliopsida; Malpighiales; Euphorbiaceae.
GAGAAAUAUAUGAAAGGAAAACAUACCCAUUUGAAUUUUCUACGGUUGAAAUGCCUUAUGAGACAUAUAAUGGGGUGAAUGUGAGGCUGAGGUAUGUUCUCAAAGUUACCAUCAGUCGUGGUUACGCUGGUAGCAUAGUAGAAUAUCAAGACUUCGUGGUUCGCAACUAUUCUCCACUUCCAUCAAUUAAUAAUGGUAUCAAGAUGGAAGUCGGAAUUGAA